This 784-nucleotide ribosomal RNA is filed under the name Debaryomyces hansenii. RNAcentral describes it as "eukaryotic LSU rRNA". The stretch from base 405 to 558 matches the Rfam family "5.8S ribosomal RNA". Lineage: Eukaryota; Fungi; Ascomycota; Pichiomycetes; Serinales; Debaryomycetaceae. The record is from RNAcentral.
GUUCGGGGCCUUAUGAAAAAACGCCAAGCCACCGCGGCCCUUUUUCCCAUUCCCGGCCUUUCACUGGCCCUUGGCUCACCAUCUUCUUUCCUCCCUUGUCCCCUGACUCGGGGGUUAACCUGAAUGCAGCCCUUAAACGAGUUUUUUGUAGAAAAAAAAAAAACGAACAAGGUUUCCGUAGGUGAACCUGCGGAAGGAUCAUUACAGUAUUCUUUUUGCCAGCGCUUAAUUGCGCGGCGAAAAAACCUUACACACAGUGUUUUUUGUUAUUACAAGAACUCUUGCUUUGGUCUGGACUAGAAAUAGUUUGGGCCAGAGGUUUACUAAACUAAACUUCAAUAUUUAUAUUGAAUUGUUAUUUAUUUUAAUUGUCAAUUUGUUGAUUAAAUUCAAAAAAUCUUCAAAACUUUCAACAACGGAUCUCUUGGUUCUCGCAUCGAUGAAGAACGCAGCGAAAUGCGAUAAGUAAUAUGAAUUGCAGAUUUUCGUGAAUCAUCGAAUCUUUGAACGCACAUUGCGCCCUUUGGUAUUCCAAAGGGCAUGCCUGUUUGAGCGUCAUUUCUCUCUCAAACCUUCGGGUUUGGUAUUGAGUGAUACUCUUAGUCGAACUAGGCGUUUGCUUGAAAUGUAUUGGCAUGAGUGGUACUGGAUAGUGCUAUAUGACUUUCAAUGUAUUAGGUUUAUCCAACUCGUUGAAUAGUUUAAUGGUAUAUUUCUCGGUAUUUUAGGCUCGGCCUUACAAUAUAACAAACAAGUUGACCUCAAAUCAGGAAAGUACGUUGUU